This 1191-nucleotide ribosomal RNA is filed under the name Phasmarhabditis sp. SA1. RNAcentral describes it as "SSU rRNA". It matches the Rfam family "Eukaryotic small subunit ribosomal RNA", at positions 525 to 1758 of the family's 1831-position model. Lineage: Eukaryota; Metazoa; Nematoda; Chromadorea; Rhabditida; Rhabditidae. The record is from RNAcentral.
UAAAAUAGUUCUUCGAGGACCAAGUGGAGGGCAAGUCUGGUGCCAGCAGCCGCGGUAAUUCCAGCUCCACUAGUGUAAAUCAUCAUUGUUGCGGUUAAAAAGCUCGUAGUUGAAAUCGAGUCAUGCAGUAUUGAAACGGCUUUGCCGAUAUUCUUUACGGUGACUAUUUUGUCGGUUCUUCUGUAGGUUACUUCGGUGCCUAUAGUGUCCGGCGAGUUUACUUUGAAUAAAUUAAAGUGCUUAAGACAAGCGUAUGCUUGAAUAUCUUAGCUAGGAAUAAUAAAACAGGACUACGGUUCUAUUUAUUGGUUCAGAAUUCGUGGUAAUGAUUAAUAGGGACUGUUCGGGGGCAUUCGUAUUUCUGCGCGAGAGGUGAAAUUCGGUGACCGCAGGAAGACGUCCUGAAGCGAAAGCUAUUGCCAAGUCAGUCUUCUUUAAUCAAGAACGAAAGUCAGAGGUUCGAAGGCGAUUAGAUACCGCCCUAGUUCUGACCGUAAACUAUGCCAUCUAGCGAUUCGGUGGGGCUCUUUAUUGCCCUGCCGAGGAGCUUCCCGGAAACGAAAGAUUUUCGGUUCCGGGGGUAGUAUGGUUGCAAAGCUGAAACUUAAAGAAAUUGACGGAAGGGCACCACCAGGAGUGGAGCCUGCGGCUUAAUUUGACUCAACACGGGAAAACUCACCCGGUCCGGACACCGUUAGGAUUGACAGAUUGAAAGCUCUUUCUCGAUUUGGUGGUUGGUGGUGCAUGGCCGUUCUUAGUUGGUGGAGUGAUUUGUCUGGUUUAUUCCGAUAACGAGCGAGACUCUAGCCUGCUAAAUAGUUGGCAGUUUUUUAAGACUGUUUCAACUUCUUAGAGGGAUAAGCGGUGUCGAAGCCGCACGAGAUUGAGCGAUAACAGGUCUGUGAUGCCCUUAGAUGUCCGGGGCUGCACGCGCGCUACACUGGAAGACUCAACUGGUCCUCCGGUGCCGAAAGGUACUGGUAAUCCGUUGAAACUCUUCCGUGACCGGGAUCGGGAAUUGUAAUUAUUUCCCUUGAACGAGGAAUUCCUAGUAAGUGUGAGUCAUCAGCUCACGCUGAUUACGUCCCUGCCCUUUGUACACACCGCCCGUCGCUGUCCGGGACUGAGCUGUUUCGAGAAGACUGAGGACUGCUAUAGUGAGGCUUCGGCUUUGCUAUAAUAGAAAGCCAG